This 73-nucleotide transfer RNA is filed under the name Diaphorina citri (Asian citrus psyllid). It matches the Rfam family "tRNA". Rfam says of the family: Transfer RNA (tRNA) molecules are approximately 80 nucleotides in length. The record is from Rfam by way of RNAcentral. Lineage: Eukaryota; Metazoa; Arthropoda; Insecta; Hemiptera; Psyllidae.
GCCUUGUUAGCUUGGUUAGUAGAGCGUCUGCCUUCUAAGCGCUAGGCCGCUGGUUCGAUUCCCGCCCUGGGCG